AGACAGAGGUGGCAAGCGUUGUUCGGAUUUACUGGGCGUAAAGGGCGUGUAGGCGGAUAUGCAAGCUGGAGGUGAAAGCCCCGGGCUCAACCCGGGAAUUGCUUUGUAGAACUGCAUAUCUAGAGAAAGUCAGAGGCAGGUGGAAUUCCAGGUGUAGAGGUGAAAUUCGUAGAGAUCUGGAGGAACACCGGCGGCGAAGGCGGCCUGCUGGGGCUUUUCUGACGCUGAGGCGCGAAAGCGUGAGGAGCAAACAGGAUUAGAAACCCCAGUAGUCC
This 275-nucleotide ribosomal RNA is filed under the name uncultured bacterium. RNAcentral describes it as "partial 16S ribosomal RNA". It matches the Rfam family "Bacterial small subunit ribosomal RNA", at positions 523 to 796 of the family's 1533-position model. The record is from RNAcentral.